Molecule: unclassified non-coding RNA, 2560 nt
Filed under: Leishmania donovani
Lineage: Eukaryota; Euglenozoa; Kinetoplastea; Trypanosomatida; Trypanosomatidae
Description: gene:LdHU3.36.1300(CDS-product:RNA_editing_comple x_protein_MP67)
Source: RNAcentral
GUACCCCAUUGCACCUGUAUUAACGCCAGAAACUCUAUUGCGAGCGCCUCUGACACGCGCCGGAAGCGUGAUCGCGCGUGCGCAUGCACGGCGUUGCGGCGGUGAUCGCAAGGCGGGAGCUAGUACGGCACACAUGUUUCCUAUACCUCCCCUUGCCACCUUUAUUCCUUUGCCGAACCUGCGGGGCUGCACGAAGACUGAUUCGAUUGCACGAUUUGAGACGAAAGGAGGGGAGCCGCCUGCCCCCUCCCCCUCCCACCGAAAAAAAAAAGGCUGUGCAAGCCUGAAUAUACUUUCUGGCGCAGCCGAUGCGUCUUCGCCGCACUUCUGCGUGGCGGGCGCUUUGCCAUAUCCCUGAUGCUUUGCGCACGCAUCGUCGUGACUUGGUUUCGGUGACAUGCUCAUCGUCAUCGCGGCCGCCGCCACGUGAGGUCGCGAAGCUUUUUUCCAGCCCCAUGGUGCGGGAGUGGUGGGUGAACGCUGCUCAAGAGGCGGUCAUCUCCCGGAAAGCCAUCAGUCGGGCAGAGCGCAUUGUGACGGAGGCCGACGAUCCGCGCUCCGGUAAGAGGCACUUCUACGACAGUGAUGCCCGACUCUGCCUCGUGUGCAACGCGCGUCUGGAGGGCAGCUACAGCACGCACAGCCACAGCGUCGACCACAAACCGCGCGUUGCACUUUUGAAGCGCACAAUCGGUAUGAUUCUCACAUUUCUUGAGCAGGCCGCCUCAUCGCCGUCGCUGCCGCCGCCGCAGGAGUCGGACUCGUCUUACUCGCUGGCUGGCAGCAAACGCUUCUCAAGGUCAGUGUCAACUCACACAGGAACACCUGCCGCCCCAGCCCCUUCUUGCUUCCACGCCUUGUAUGCCGAGUCACCGCUGUUUGCUGAGGACGGCGUGCCAAGCCGCGCGCUCCUCUAUCACCGCCCGCUCACGCUACGCGAAUUCGACCUGGUAGAUGUGAUCAUGCGACGCUGGUGGAACACCUUGCAUAAUCCACCACCUAGGCGGGGUAGUCUUUCCUUUGACCGCCUCCUCUCGCUUUCCUCGACUGAGCUGCAGAUGCGGCGAUGGCGUGUGCGCUACCUACUCCACUUUCUCAAGUCGCGUGGGGUUCUCCGCUCUUGCCUGACACUGAGGUCCGACCAAGUGAAUGAGGCGCCGUCACCCAACGAGCGUAUUCAUCGUGGUGAGGCCUUUGAGCGGCUCGAGAUGGUUGGUGACUUUUUCUUCAAGAGCCUCACCCCCGACCGAAUGCACACCGUCUUCCCGGCCGAUGAGGGUGGACUUACAGCUGAACUCCAGUACUUUGAGCGGGCCUUGGAUUCGAAUCACGGUCUGCUGGCCAUCUAUGACUACCUCGGUCUGGAUGACAUCGCUGGCUGCUUUUUAGCCAACAACAAGGCAAAGGCCGACGUUGUAGAGGCCGUCAUUGGUGAACUGAAGGUUCUGCUGUGGUCGACCGAGGUGGUGUGGGGCAUGGAGUACUACGCCGUACCUGGGGAGCGCGCCACGCAUGUCUACCUGCGAGCGUUGGUGGCGCACACCAUCGCCGAGCUGGGGCACACGGUGCUGAUGUGGCAGCUGGAGAGUACGCUACGCAAUUGCCGCGACUUCAUUCUCAAGCACACCGUGGAGGAAUACUUGGGCGCCGAGAAAGGGAACGAGCGUCGUGCAAGCGGAGGAGGGGACGAGUGCGACGUCCCCGCGGACCUUCCAAAGUACGCACCGCUGCCGCCGUUGCUCGCGUGGAAUCGGCGCCGCCCGGGCGUGUCGGUGCGGAGGGGUGAGGUGCCGUUCGCAAGUAAACGGUCUCGAAGCAGCAUACCGCCGUCUCCUCAAGACCCGCUUCGCAGACUCGCCCCGACUGCGAGCUGCAUUCCGGAGGCUAUUCGGGAUCACUACGCCGUCGGUCGAAAAAAGUGGAGCUCAUGUGCCUGUAAAGCAGCCAUUCAAGCCCUCUGUGGCUCCCUCACACAAACUGCGCUACAGCAUGGCAAUGGCCACACCGCUGACGCUCUAUCGUCGAACUCAACGUCGGCAUCGUUGCCCCUCUCUCCACAACCGCAGCCGUCCCCAACCGCGCCGGCGUCCGCGGGGGCCCCUCGCAGUGUGCUACGGACUCUGGUGACUGCGAAUUGCGUGGUGAUUCGUAAUUCGGCCCCGCUCCUCGCUAGAAACACGUUGACUAGAAGGGUGGCCGAGUAGCACUGCUGCACCCCUUCGCUCUCGCUUUUCGGAUAUGGCGUCCCCUUUCGCCCUUGCGAGUGGUGCGCCUUGUAUUUGCACUGCACAGGUUUGCGAGGGCGAAGAAACGAGGAGAAACGAAGCACCGAGCGGGGCAGCGCGGCACUGUGUUCGCGGAGCGGCGGAGGAUGAGCGAGAGGCGGUGCAAACGGUAUUCCUUUCUGCACGCAUGCACGCAUCUAUUUAUGUGUGCCUCUCGAUCUUUUGCAAGUUGCGUCGUCUCUCGUGGCCGUCGUGUGCCCGCUGCUCCUCGCGGUGUAAAGUGGACUGUGGCCCUUCCUACUCCCUUCCUCUGCCACGAAUGCGAACACAUAAAA